GGUGUCCUCAGAGCCCCCGGCGGCCCGAGGCGCGCAGUCCCGCCGCCGCUGCGGGCGUCGGGCCGAAGACCGAGCUGCGGCAGGACCGAGCGGCGGCAGGACCGAGCGACGGCAGGCGGCAGCUCCCGGAGAGGCCCCGCUGCGUUUCCAAAGCCUCAGGCAAAAUGCCCUCCACGGGCUUUGCGAAGCCCACCUAGGAGGCGGGGCCUUUCCUUCCCGGAGGCCGCCCGGUCCGGAGCUCGCGUCCGGCUGAGACUGAGCCCCAACCCGGUCCCACGCGCCGACCCCCGCCCCUCAGCCCCCACUCUCCUCAGAAGCCCAACUCAGGAAAAGUGGAGAAACUCCGCUUUCCAGGGCGCCCAGCGACCGGGACCCCAGCGGCGCCGGCGGGCUCAGGUAGGUGCUUCUGGGGGUGCGGCCCCCGGAGGCGGGGUCGGGGCGCUGCCCCCAGGCCGCCUCCCGCGUCCGUGCUGUUUGCGUUGGCGGCGCUCCCCCCCUCCUCCCCCCGUGGCCCGCGCCCCCGCAGACCAGGCCUUCGCUAGGGGCCCUCCCCCGGGCGGAGCCGCCUGGCCGCCGGGUGUGUAGGCGGCGCUGGAGACGCGCUGAGCGGCCUCGGAAAACCAUGCGUCGGUCUUGUGGAGGAAGAAGGCGGGUCACGAGACAGCACGUGUGACACGGUCUUGUCUGCGAGGACACACGGACACUGUGCACAGAAACCCGGAGGGUUCGAAGCCACCAGAAGUAUGCAACACCAGACUCUGUUUUGGGAUGACUGGAUUAUAGGAAAAUAAUCACAGCCACCAGUGGGAAGAGAGUCAGUGGAUGGAUCCUGGGCAUGACCUUGCUCCUUAGUGACCCCAUGACCGUCCCCCUGGAGUUACAGAGAGAGAGAGAGGCAGAGACACAGGCAGAGGGAGAAGCAGGCUCCAUGCACCGGGAGCCCGACGUGGGAUUCGAUCCCGGGUCUCCAGGAUCGCGCCCUGGGCCAAAGGCAGGCGCCAAACCGCUGCGCCACCCAGGGAUCCCUAGAAUCCUGACAAGCAAGAAUGCUACCUGAGGGCUGCCAUGCUGCAAAGUAUGACAGCCUGCUCUCGGAGAACCAUAAAUAUUUGGAAUUUGAAGUGAAUUGGGAACUUAACAACAACAAAACUAAAGUUUGAAAACAAGUUAGCCAAAGCCUAGAUUCCUUGAAAUGCAUUGGAUAAGCACCGCAUUAAAGCUGACCUUUUUGCAAGAGUUUUGGAAGAAUGUUGUCUCACAGAGAGAAAAUCUGGUGAUAACCAUCAUCAAGGAGAAAGCUAGAGAGAAAAGGAAAGAAGCCAUCAUAAAAGGCCCAGUGUUUGGAAGGCAGAAACCCAGCUCUGACACCCCUUGGGUUUGUGUGAUGGCCAGCUCGGGCCUUUUACCGCCAACUGCAGCACUGGAUCCUUCUCCAUCCUACACUUGGACCUCUGGCAACUUCUCCACCAACUGCUCCAAUCCUGUUACCUUGAGCAUAGUUGUUUCUGAUCCCAGGUCCCCAAAUCCAGAAUGGCAAAUUUUGGGAGUUCAAAGGAGAUGUGAGAAUUUGAUAGAGUAGCUCCAGGGGUCAGUUUGGAUCAGAGUCUGGUAGAAAUGAACAGGUUUUUUGUUUUGUUUUGUUUUGUUUUGUUUUGCCUUAUGCUAGGCAAAAUAGUUCUAUUCCCUAUUGCCUUAUGAUUAACAUGGCCAGAUUUAGAAAUAAAAAUACAAGUGCAUUGAUAAUAUGCUACAGCGGGGAUGGACCUUGAAAUCAAGCUAAGUAAAAGAAGGUAAUCACAGAAGACCACAUAUUGUGUGAGUCCAUAUAGGUCAAAGGUCCAGAAUGGGUAAAUCUAUAAAAGUAGAAAGUAAAUUAGUGGUUUCCCAAGGCUGCAGAAUAAGGGGACCUCGGGGAUGGGGCUCAGGGUUUCUUUUUGAGGUGAUAAAAUGUUUUAAAAUCAGCUUGUGAAAUGGCUGCACAACUCUGAAUAUACUGAAAUCCGUGGCUUCUUAUACUUAAAGUGAUAGAAUUUUAUGAUACAUGACUAUCUUAAUAAAGCUGUUUUUAAUAAUACAGGAUGGCAAGUUAAAUUUGAAUUUCAGAUAAACUAUGAAAAUAAAUUUAGCGUAAGUAUAUGCUAUGCAAUCGUUGAGGUAGAUUUAUACUGAAAACAUUUUCAUUAUUUAUUUGAAAUCCACAUUUAAAUGGAUGUCCUGUAUUUUAUUUGGCAACCCUACUUAGGAUUCGAUUAAAUGUCUCAGAAAGCACCAAUCAACAGCAAAAGUAAGAAGAAAUGGUUCAUGAGAUGUCAUUUAAAGAGAUUUAUGGAGACCCCCUACAUCUUUUGGGCAUCAAAAUUCUUAACAACUAACCAAGACCAAGAACUUCUGAAUUUAAUGAUAAUCACUUUUUAAAAAUUAAAUUUUAGCUGCCACGACAGAGAAAUCCAAGGAGAGAAGAAAUAACAUUGAAAUUCUAUAUUAAAAAUUUCCAAAAGUUAUAGAAAAUGUCUAGAAGUGAGAGGAAGUGGAUAUUUUAUAAGAACCUACUAAUCUUUACAUUGUACGAGUCUUAUUAGAAACAUUUUAGGGGAAGUUCACGAGUGUGGAUCUAAAGAUUUUGACUUGUUCACACAGAUGAAAAAUUAUUAUAAUGGGGCACAUGAGUGACUCGGUUGGUUAAGUGCCUACCUUCGGCUCAGGUCAUGAUCCCAGGGUCCUGGGGUUAAGCCCCACAUUGGGCUUCCUGCUCAGCGGGGAGACCACUUCUCCUCUGCCCUCACUCUGCUCUUGUGCUCUUUCUCUCUCUCAAAUAAAUAAAUAAAAC
Molecule: long non-coding RNA, 2827 nt
Filed under: Canis lupus familiaris (dog)
Lineage: Eukaryota; Metazoa; Chordata; Mammalia; Carnivora; Canidae
Description: lncRNA (ENSCAFG00000049322.2)
Source: RNAcentral